This 497-nucleotide ribosomal RNA is filed under the name uncultured bacterium. RNAcentral's name for it is "partial 16S ribosomal RNA". It matches the Rfam family "Bacterial small subunit ribosomal RNA", at positions 28 to 507 of the family's 1533-position model. The record is from RNAcentral.
GACGAACGCUGGCGGCGUGCCUAAUACAUGCAAGUUGAGCGCUGAAGGUUGGUACUUGUACCAACUGGAUGAGCAGCGAACGGGUGAGUAACGCGUGGGGAAUCUGCCUUUGAGCGGGGGACAACAUUUGGAAACGAAUGCUAAUACCGCAUAAAAACUUUAAACACAAGUUUUAAGUUUGAAAGAUGCAGUUGCAUCACUCAAAGAUGAUCCCGCGUUGUAUUAGCUAGUUGGUGAGGUAAAGGCUCACCAAGGCGAUGAUACAUAGCCGACCUGAGAGGGUGAUCGGACACAUUGGGACUGAGACACGGCCCAAACUCCUACGGGAGGCAGCAGUAGGGAAUCUUCGGCAAUAGACGAAAGUCUGACCGAGCAACGCCGCGUGAGUGAAGAAGGUUUUCGGAUCGUAAAACUCUGUUGGUAGAGAAGAACGUUGGUGAGAGUGGAAAGCCCAUCAAGUGACGGUAACUACCCAGAAAGGGACGGCUAACUACGUG